Molecule: long non-coding RNA, 1960 nt
Filed under: Homo sapiens (human)
Lineage: Eukaryota; Metazoa; Chordata; Mammalia; Primates; Hominidae
Description: non-protein coding lnc-DUSP19-4:1
Source: RNAcentral
CCAGGAUCUGAGAGAAACCAAAAAAAAGUGGGGAGAUAAUAAUCCAGGGACUUUGGGUAGUUGUUAAAUGGAUGGCUGUAUCAUAAGUAUUGAAGCUGAUAAGGGAUAGAUAUGGGUUGAUUAUAUAUUUGUUUUGCUGGAAAAUGUUCCAUGAUACAGUUUUAAUAACAGUUUUAAUUUCAGAAACGCAAAAUAUUGUUUUUACAACUAAGAUAACAUUGAAAUUUAUACAGAACCCCAAAUGACAAGUGUAUAAUCAACUGCCAGGAAAUCAGUUUACCUGUUAGAGGUAGAAAAGUUACAGGAUAAAAAUGGAAUUGGUUGGCACUAAGUAGGACCACUUUCGAAGAGAAUGGGUAGAAUUCAUUUUCUUUUCAUUACUUCCUUUCAGCGUGGAGCCUGAGCAUCAUUUCACCAUUUUGAGCCUCAAGCUCUCAAUAUACUGGAAAAUUGUAAUCCUGUUCCCUUCACUGAGGUCAUAAUACUGAAUUCUGAAAUGGAAAUAAUUGACUAGAGAUUGUCUAGUCAAACUAGACUGAUGAGGUCUCACCAUUUUCUUCAAGGAAGAUCAACUGAACCUGCCUGAAGGCACAGGGUACACCAUCUUCCUAAGGUGUGACCUCCUGUUCCCAAAGGAAUAGACCUAGGUGACCAACCAGCAGCACCUAGCUUUUGCCAGCUACGCAGCUUUGAAUAGCCUUCCACCCUUGUGUCCUUCAAACCCCAUUCUUGCCAAAGCCAAGUUCUCUCCCUCCCUCUCAACAGAUUUCUCAGCACACAUCAGAUUUCACACCGAUCUAUGAAAAACUAUUUUUAGAGAUUAUUACUAUGGUCCGAAUGUUUAUAUCCCCUCCUGCUCUCCCUAAAAUUAUGUUGAAAUCCUAACCCCCAAGGUAAUGGUAUUAGGAAUGUGAGGCCUUUGGGAAGGGUUUAAGUCAUGAGGGCAGAGACCUCCUUUUUGAGAUUGGUACACUUAUAAAAGAGACCCCAGUAUCUUGCUCGUCCCUUCUGCCAUGGGAGAACACGGUGAGAGCGAGCCAUCUGUAAACCAACAAACAAGGCCCUCACCAGGCACUCAAUCUGCCAGCACUUUGAUAGUGGACUUCCCAGCCUCCAGAACUAUGAGAAAUAAAUGUGUUUUUUUAAGCCAGCCAGUUCAUUUUGUUAUAGCAGCCUGGACAGACAAUAUAUUGAAAAAAAUCAGUUUUGCAGUUCCACUGGUCAGGUGAAUGCCAGAGGAGCUGGUCCACAGUCAUAGGCGUUAAACUUCUUUUGGAAACUAUACUGGCUUGACAGUCUCCCCAUACUGAUUCAGACUCCAGCAAGGUGCACAUCACCCGCUAGUCAUUGUGGCUUCUGCUGCUUUAAGGUUCUGGAAUUAUGGAAGAAAAUAGGGUGGGCCUACUGUCUCUUCCCACUGUUUACCUGGUGUUUUGAUUCUGAAUAGUUUAUAAGCUCUGCUAUUCAAGAAGUUUAUACAAACCCGUAAUGUACUACCAAACCGUUCAUUCAUUAUGACAAAACUGCCUACCAAAGCCACAGACUUUAAGUCUUUGCAGGAUUACCACUGAAAGUUCACAUGCUUGGUUAGCAGUCUUAACCUCUAACCAACUGAACAAAUCGAAGACAUUUAAUUUAGUCAAAAUAGGCAUGGGAAUGAAAGUGAGACUUAGAGGCAAAGAAUGAGGCCAGGUGCGGUGGCUCACACCUGUAACUCCAGCACUUUGGAAGGCCCAGGCAGAAGGAUUCCUGCAGACCAGGAUUUCAAGACCAGCCUGGACAACCUGGUGAAACCUCCUCUCUACAAGAAAAUUCAAAAAUUAGCCAGGCGUGGUAGGGUAUGCCUGUAGUCCCAGCUACUUGGGAGGCUGAGGUGGGAGGACUGCUUGAGCCCAGGAGGUCCAGGCUGCAGUGAGCCGUGAUCACACCACUGCACUCCAGACUGGGAGGCAGAGGAAGA